Monodelphis domestica (gray short-tailed opossum) is the source of this 1681-nucleotide long non-coding RNA. NCBI's taxonomy places the organism in Eukaryota, Metazoa, Chordata, Mammalia, Didelphimorphia, Didelphidae. The record is from Ensembl.
UUACUCCUACGUCUGCGCCUGCGCCAGGUGUUCCCCCAUGCGCCUGCGCACCGCAGGGAGCUCCAGUGUCAGGCUCCUCCUCCUCACUCUUUCGCUUUCACUUUCCCAACAGCAAGGGGAUCUUCCAGUUGCUUAAGAAUUAGAUGGAAAAUGAAAGGGGAGGCUUUCCCCUUUUCCCCAACUGCUGGAACCCGGACUCUAAUAUCUGCACCUGGCCGAGUCUUGUGAGGUGGAGUCAAGAUGGUGUCUUAGACGCAGCAAAAGUCCAGAACUCUCUAAAACCCUUCUACACCCAUCAAAAACAAGGUGCUUCGAGGGGACAGAAAACCAAAUCUAACCGCAAGACAGAGCUGGGAGACCCUCCUGCUGGAUUCAGCUUAAAAGGAAAAACUACUCCCUCAAAAGCUCCAGUAUUGGCAUUUACCCCCCCACCAAGUCCUGUAAACCAAAGCUGGCUGGUGGAGAUGCCAUGGGAAGACUCCAGAAGAGAGUUCCUUUGAGGGAGAGAGCAAAAAGGGCUGCGGCAGAUCUGCCCUCUGGAAUCAAGCAAGUCAAGAUCCUUCUUAUCUAGGACAGCCAUUCAAAUAUUUGAAGAUAAUUUUUAUGUUUCCCCAAGACUUCUCUUCCAUUUCCUUCAACAAGCCCUUGUGUGAUGUGAUCUGGCCCUUUUCAGUCUUGGUCUUACCUUUAUUACUUUCCAGUUUAUUAGUAUCCUGUACUAAGAACUAAACACAGCCCUCCAGAUAUGUUUCAACCAGGUCAAAAUAUUAUAACAUUCCACAUGUGUCCCCACCAGGACAGAAUAUCCACUCUUUUUUUCUGGACCAUAAUGCAACCUGGACCAUAUUGUCUUUUUCAACGGUUAAGUUACACUGUUAAACUUUCAGAUCUUUUUUUCAGUAGAAUUGAAAUAUCAGACUGAGACCUAUAUCUGUGUGCCCUAGUGAGAUGAAGCAGAUAUGUUUAUUUAAUAUUUCCUUUUUCUUCAUGCACUUUCCAUUCCUGCCUUGAUUUUAUUCUCUUUUCUUCCACCUCUUCUGCUCCCUUCCCUUCUCUAAUUCAUUCUUUGUGAUUCUCUCAAUCUUGAAGAGAAGUAUUUCAGGUAAAAAAGCCUUGAAUUUAAGGUCCCAUGAGUGGCCCUUGGUCACUAAAUUAAACAAAUAUUUACUAAGGGUUCACCAUAUACAAAAUACAUGAGAGAGUUAUAAAAACAAAUAAGGCAAUCUCUGGCUUCGUGGAGCUUGCUCUUGAAUGUGGGGAUAGUAGAUCUACAACUAGAAUGCAAAGUUAUAAGUAAGAGAUGUAUAGGGUGUUUCCUUGAACCAAAGGAGGUCCAAAGAGAAUGACAAAAGACUUAAUGGAGGAGAGAAUGAUGGAAAAGCUAGAUUUUAAGAGUUGAUAAAUUGUCUGCUUUGUGUGGAUUUUGGAGAAUGGCGUAAUCUAGAGAAAUACUUUCUGGUUCAAUAUGAGUGGUUUGUUAAGAAGAAGCUAAAAAAAGAGUGUAACUUGAAAAAUUUGUUUCAGGAUUGCUAAAAAGAAGCCACAUUCCUUUUCUUUCUGAUUUUCAUGAUUGACUGCAACAUUUCAUCACAGAACUGAGUUUCUUUAGAGCUCAAACUGCUGAAUCAGUUUGCAUAGAAUUUUUUUUUUGCUUCUUAAAAUAAAGGAACUUUCAAAAACA